CAGGACACGGGUCAAGUUAAGUCUAGGCUCUGAGGCUCUUAACUUUGAGAGAGGCAUCAAUUAGGCACCAGGUGGAAGGGCUAUAUGGGUGAGUGUGUGAAAAACUGCUUUGGAAAAGUCCACGAGGAAUACACUGCUGUAAAGGUAGAGCUAUGGGGGCUCAGAUCACCCUAGGUCUGGACUUUGGGACCAGAGAAGCAGAAAACUCUGAACUGUGUUGACAAGUGAGGAAGAUGUUCCUCUGAGCAAUGCCUGGAGCAGAGGAUGGUGGGUCAGGUAUGUUGGGGAAUCCCAGACUUGCUGUGGUAGGAGAACUGGAUUCUGAUGGUGCCAAACAGUUUUGGUUUCUGUUGUACUUCAGGUAAUUCAAGACGAGCUUUGCAAGGAGCAGAGGAGACUUCUGGGCCCUGGAAAAGCUGAUAGAGACAAGUUCAUGCCUAGUUUCUUCAUACCAGAUUAUUUUGAGGAGAGGGUCCAUUCAGAAGUUGUGUUGGGAUAAGAUUCCAUUUGGGCUGUGCCAGAAGGCAUUUUGAUUAUUCUCUUGGCACAGGUGACACAGAAUCCAUUGCCUCAGAGCCUCUCCUCCAUUUUCUAUUCCCGCUGUAUAGAGGAGCAUUUACUUGUUGAAGAUCUGAAACUGAGGCCAUGCAACCUGAGAAACACAGCACAGAGUGGUGAGUUGGGACCCUCAUGAGAAGGCAAGUUUCUGUUAGAAGUAAAGUGUGAACAUGGUGGCCUUGAUUAUGGGUUGUAUCAGAGGGCAAUUCUAUGCUCAGGAUUAAGAAAUUAUAUCAACCCAUAUUCUCACACAUUUCCCUGUCUUCCCAUCUUGCCUCAAAGCUAGCUGGAUUUGGAAUGAAAAAAAGUCAUUUUUUUUCUCCAAGUAAGUCAUUAAAAUAUAUUUAGUAAGUACCUACUAUGUAAAA
This 926-nucleotide long non-coding RNA is filed under the name Mus pahari (shrew mouse). RNAcentral describes it as "lncRNA (MGP_PahariEiJ_G0003506.1)". The record is from RNAcentral. Lineage: Eukaryota; Metazoa; Chordata; Mammalia; Rodentia; Muridae.